RNAcentral lists this ribosomal RNA (503 nucleotides) under uncultured Roseateles sp. Its description in RNAcentral is "bacterial SSU rRNA". It matches the Rfam family "Bacterial small subunit ribosomal RNA", at positions 8 to 507 of the family's 1533-position model. Lineage: Bacteria; Pseudomonadati; Pseudomonadota; Betaproteobacteria; Burkholderiales; Sphaerotilaceae. The record is from RNAcentral.
AGAGUUUGAUCCUGGCUCAGAUUGAACGCUGGCGGCAUGCCUUACACAUGCAAGUCGAACGGUAACGCGGGGCAACUUGGCGACGAGUGGCGAACGGGUGAGUAAUGUAUCGGAACGUGCCCAGUUGUGGGGGAUAACUGCUCGAAAGAGCAGCUAAUACCGCAUACGACCUGAGGGUGAAAGCGGGGGAUCGCAAGACCUCGCGCAAUUGGAGCGGCCGAUAUCAGAUUAGGUAGUUGGUGGGGUAAAGGCCUACCAAGCCGACGAUCUGUAGCUGGUCUGAGAGGACGACCAGCCACACUGGGACUGAGACACGGCCCAGACUCCUACGGGAGGCAGCAGUGGGGAAUUUUGGACAAUGGACGCAAGUCUGAUCCAGCCAUGCCGCGUGCGGGAAGAAGGCCUUCGGGUUGUAAACCGUCUUUUGUCAGGGAAGAAAUCCUUUGUGUUAAUACCGCGAAGGGAUGACGGUACCUGAAGAAUAAGCACCGGCUAACUACGUG